CUGCGUGCUGUGUCGUUCCUCCAACUAGGCUAGUUCAUAGGUGGGGCAGGUCUUUUGCACUACAUGGGCAUGGUGAAAGCUCUGUACUUAAUGCUCCCACACAACGACAACAAUACUUAUAUCUUAGUGCUAAUGAUCAAUCACGUGGUUGUACGUAAUCACAUUCUUAAUUCUAAAUUAGACAAACACAAAUGUAAAGGACGAAUAAUAUAAUGCACCUAUGUAUAGCAUAAUACAACAUAAAAACUUCUACUUUCUCUAGUGUUCUCAUCCUCUAUACUAAUAUAGUAACGUAAAAAUUUAAAACAAAAAAAACAAAAUAAUAAAGUUUCCUAAGAAAAAAAUUAGUGGCAUUGGUAUUAGCCUUUAAACAAAAUGAAACUAAUAAGGACAACACACAAUUUAAACAGAAAUUACGCUUUUCCACAAUAUGAAAGAUAAGCAUAUAAUGGUGGGAUUCUCACAAGAUGGAAGUUAUCUAAAAACGAAUGAAUCAACGACAUUGCUAUUACCCUUAAAGGAGAAAGCAAUAAAAUAAAAAAUAAAAAAGUCAAAAUAAGGAAGUUUUCUAAAGAAUGAAUUAGUGGCAUUCAUAUAAACCUUUAAGAAAAAGAAAAUGAAAAAGAUAGAAAUUUUGCACACAAUUUACACAUAAAUUGCACUUUUCUAUAGUAUGCAAAAACAAGCAUAUAAUAGUGGAGUUUUCGUAAAAUAAAAGUUUCCUCAGAACGAAUGAAUUAAUGGCAUUCGUAUUACCAUUAAAGCAGACAAAAACUGAAACACAAACUAAAACUAAAUCAAAAUAAUGAAGUUUUCUAAGGAAGAAUGAAUUAGUGGCAUGGUAUUAUACUUUAAGAAAAACAAAAAAGAAAUAAAUACUAAAACAAAAUCAAAAUAAUUAGUGGCUUUUGUAUUACCCUUCAAGAAGAAAGAAAAUGAAAUCAAACUAAAACAAAAUCAAACAAUGAGGUUUCCUAAGAAAGAAUGAAUUUGUUGCAUUGGUAUUACCCUUUAGUAAAAAGAAAAUGGAAAAAAAUAUGUAAAACAAAUAAUGACAAAUUUUGCACACAAUUGACACAUAAAUUGCAAAUUUCUAUAGUAUGCAAAAAUAAGCAUAUAAUAGUGGAAUUUUCGCCAAAAGAAGUUUCCUAAGUACGAAUGAAUUAGAUUAGACCGAAACUGAAACGAAAACUGAAAUAAAAUCAAAAUAAUGAAGGUUUUUAAGGAAGAAUGAAUUAGUGGCAUGGUAUUACUCUUUAAGAAAUACGAAAAGAAAUACAUACUAAAACAAAAUCAAAAUAAUGAGGUUUUCUAGGAAAGAAUGAAUUACUGGCUUUGGUAUUGCCCUUCAAGAAGAGAGAAAAUGAAUUCAAACUAUUACAAAAUCAGACGAUGUGGUUUUUUAAGAAUGAAUGAAUUGGUGGGUUAGUUUUACCCUUUAGUAAAAAGAAAACGAAAAACUAUCUGAAAUAAACAAUGACAAAAUUUGCACACAAUAUACCCAAAAAUUGCGCUUGUUUAAAAUAUGCAAGAAUAAGCAUGUACUGCGGAAAUUUUCGCCAAAAAAUCCUACACAAGAAUGAUCAAUGGCAUUGAUAUUACCCUUAAUGAAGGAACAAAAUAAAAUUAUGACUAUUUCAAAAUCAAAAUAAUAAACUUUUAUAAGAAAAAUGAAAUAGUGGCAUUGGUAUUCCUUUUUAAGAAGAAAAAUAAUGAAUUUAGAAAAAACUUGCACACAACUUCACACUAAAAUUGCUUUUUUCUGUAGUAUACCAACAACAAUCAUAUGACAGUGUAAUUUUCGCGCAUAUUGUAUUGUAUAGCAUUUGAAUAUAUAUAUUUAGACUCACCCAACACCCAAAAAUACCUAAAAAAGAAAAUAAUAUAAUCUAACUAAUAAAGAAUAACAAAAAACAAAAGAAGAAACACAUAAAACAUAUUUCUUUUAAAGAAAAACAAUGUGGCAAAGGGGAGGGCUGGGUGGCAUACGUGGGCUUCAGCCCAGUAGGAAGUUGACUGACCCAAAUAUGUGGUCAGUCAAAAAACAAAAUCUAAGCCAGCUCAUAGUACUCAAUGGCCAGAAAAAUCUAUAGGGAAGUGACUGAAGGCAAAAAAAUCAAUGGCCAGAAAAAUCGACUGACCAAAAGUGUUUUUUCAGGCAACUUACGUGUAGCUAAUGUGUAAAAUAAAAGAGCAGCAAAUCAACUUUUGUCCACGAUAAAGCAGAAGCGAGAGAUCCGCCUAUCAAAACAUGUGAUGUACGUCGGUUGACGGGGCAACAUACGGCUCCUAGCUUUUUUUUCCCAAACAUUGGCCGUACAACAGGAGGAUUUUGUGAACACGCUCAGGAAGGAAAAAAAAGUUAUAUUAUGGAGCUCCCAAACUUGAAACGCAUGCUGCGAUUUGAUACGAGAGCUUUCAAAGUGUGCGUUGCAGUCCCAAACUUGGCACGCCAACGACGAUAAGGUUAACGGCUGCGCCUGCUGGCAGCCACAUCAGAUUUGUUUGUCGAGCUGGCCACACAGUUAACGGCUGUUACAAUGUUGUUCAUACCCCCGCGGUCUAUGCCAUUCACACCUUUAGUCACUCAUUUGGUGUCUCUGCAGUGAAUGUUGUGUUGCGUGUUCAUACUGCUCUGCCACCGCUCUCGCUCUCGCCCUCUUCCUCGCACAGUAGAUCCGCCGCCACGGCCGGUGCCGCCUGCGUGGCGUGACCAUGCCGUUGGUGAAUGACCGAGGUUCAUCCUCUGAUGAUUCGACGAGUAGAAUGGUGUUGCUUUGGCUUUUCAAAAUUUGGGGAUUUGCCGUUUCCCUAUAUUGAAUCGAUUUGGUUGAUGUUUAGAUGUUGUACACGAUUUCGUACAGGGAUUGAAGUGGACUAGCAAUGGAUGUGUCAGCUCGAUGCCUCCAUAAGCUCCCAUGCGAAAAGAAGUUGGCUGAUACCGGGAGGAAAGGUCUUAGGUGUGCAGGCCAUAUGAGUUCUUUUUACCAGUGUGUAAUCAGGACAUGUGUGUAACCUGGACAUGUGUAAUCAACUUGGGCGUGUGUAAUCAAGACAUGUGCAUGCACUUGACCAAUCCUAUAAAAUAUGUGCAUGUUUGUCUGUUGAUGAUGCUUUAAGCUUAUUACCAAAAUAGCUCAUUACUAAAUUCAAGUACUUCAGUUGACCCAUGAUAUAAACUUUUGUUGAUCAACUCCCAAGUCAUGUAUAUAUGAACGUGUGUAUAAGCACCUGCGGAAGUUGCUUUUGUGCAUCAGCAAACAUUGAGAGAAAAAAACUUUGAAGGUACUACACGUGCAUUUAGCUGAUCACGAGUUGUUGUGAAGAGUUUUCGCCGAGAGAGAUUCAUGUACGAGAAGCUGCAUGUAUACAAAAACAUCAUGUAAUUACACAUAGUCAAUUUUCGCUACAACUGACCCAGGAAGAAGCUUCUCUACUGAUGCUAAUCAACAACAUAAUGAUCCUGUUCAAAAUAAUAAAAUAAAUAAGACAACAACUCAACCCUGGACUUUUAGUCCGAGGAAACGUGAUCCUAGACUUGUACUCGGAAGCUAGAGCUGCAGAUGGCGAUGUCAUGUGGCAACCGAGCUAUCGGUGUCCUUGCUCGAUGAGCACCGAUGCCGCAGUGCACUGGCCUCACCUAAAAAUGGAAGAAAAGGUAUGUCAUAAUUAAGUAUAGUCAUAAUCAAAGUGGUGUUCAUCCAAGAACUCAACAACUCACCGAAUGUAUCCUGGGGUGGAGCUAUGCUCGGCAACUCACCAAGUAUAUCCUGUGGUGUAGCGAUACAAGCUAGGGGGGCACCGCCCCCCUAUCCUAGAAAAUCAUCUUUUUCGACAAAGCCUAGAGAGUCAUCUGGAGGGCUCAGAUGGAAUAAAUAGUGUUUUGCCCCUCAAAUCUUCAGAUUUUAAAAUUUGAUUUCCAGUAAGUAUUUCUCUAGCCCUGUAAAGCUGGAUGUGAGUGGCGUUGCAAAUAGGGCACAACAUGUCCAUGGUGAGCCACCGCUUGAUGCACCGUUGAUGGAAAAUGUGGUUGCAAUCAAGCUUUUCUGGUGCCCGUAAACGGCAUGUUAGUGUACUGACGGUGAGGGGUGGGAGCGUUCCUGAAAGGUAUCUGUUUCUUUCGUUUAAGGAUUGGUGACUUGACACUGAUUCCGUCUCUAAUGUCGCAUUCUUCGGUGUGGGCGAUAACUGUGUCGACCAGGAGAUGCUCGUGUCGAGUGAUAGCAGGUGGAAUUAAAUCAGCUUCCUCUUCCACUGACGGAUGCAAUGGACAACCAUCAUGACUAGCGACCUCACGACAGAAAUGGCCAUGAAGAUGAAGGGCAAUGAUCUCUCUAGAGUGGACCGGCCUACUAGAUCUGUCGGCUGACUUGUCGAUGGGCACUCUUCGGUGGAAGUUGUUGGCUCCCGUAUGACUCAUAUUGCAUACACAACUGAUAGUUAAAAAGGAGCGGUGACUCCAUUAUAUAGCAGAAAGGGAGGGCCAAAGCCGUAGUGUGAUGUUGCCACUGGUCACAGGAGAUGGUAGUAAGGGGUUGAGAGAACGAAUGUGGUGUUGGCAUUUGGGAAAUGACCCGUUGGGGGAAGAGAAGAUGGAAGGUGCUAAGUAUUCUCUUUGAUUACAAGGGUUCUCACAUAAUUAAGGAUACACAGGGCCAAUUCGCUCUUGAGGUAAACGAAGAAGAUAGAGAAGCCAAUCCAAAAAAAUUCCCAUAUGUCUCAUGUUGUUGUUACGAGAACAAGUUCAACUAAGGGGUAUCCUUGGUAACAUUGUCAUAAGUAAAGUUAACAGUGGUGAUGGUGCCAUGUACCAGGGGUACACCGGCAGACCGAAAGUCAGCCCACCGGGCCGGAAAUUGGCCCACCUAGGGCGUUGUCUACUUGGAGUACUAAAGUGACACAUUGAUGUUUUCUAAAAAGGUUAGUCAUCUUGAUGGAGCAUGACCUAAUCCUAUGUUAGGAAGGAGUCAACAUGGGUUUGGUCACAUGUCUGAAUCGUUUGCGACUACCUCGGUAUCCUCUCCCAUGAUCCCUAAUCAACAUCUGUUCCAGUCGUCUGCGACUGCUUGGACUCACCUCAAGAGUUCCCGGUCUUUCGUUCAAAAGUGAGGGUGGAAUGAUUUACGUGCUCAUGACGGGUCUUAUAUUGGGAAGGGUGCAUUGAAAAAUGACCCAGAUUAUUCAUGGUGCUGGUAGGUAGGGGGGUAGGCUAGUAAAAAGUAGGUCCAUGAGUCCCUGCAAACUACUUUCUAUAUGGUCCCCAAUGGUCGCUCUGCCCUCUACUAAUGCAUCUUCAGCUUUCUCAUGGCAUAUCACAUUGUGUGUGUUGAUGACUGACAAUUCACCUUGAACUUUCCCAUGGCAUUUCAUAUUGUGUAUGUUGAUGGUUGGACGGCUUGUUCGUUUGUUUUCUUUGAUGAUGUUGCAUUGAAGCAACAAGACGUUGCUUUGCUUCUAUUUUUCAUGUCAAGCCCAUCAGAAUUUAUCAACACCAGUCAACUUAAAAUUUUCUAAUAUGCGGCAGCAAUGCGCCGGCCAAAACACACCUGAGUACUAGCAAUACUUCAUGCCCUAUAAUGUAGGAUACAGUCCGUUGGUUAAUUUGUUAGUGGGAUGGUUGUGUCUCGCUAGACUGGAUUAUCAUAUCGGUGGUACCGUGGUAGGGGAUGCACUAUCGAUAACCAUGCGGCAACAUUGACUUUGUGAAUCCCGAUGCCCGUAACUCAUGAUUUGAAUAGGUGUUGCAUGAGUCCACAAUCGUGUGAUAGCAUGCCAGAGUGUGUAUGUGUGCUCAAAUCUAAGUUGCACUUCAUAGCUAAGAAAUUGGAUGUCAGUCACUUUUUCCAUUUGUAUAUAAAAGCCUCUCUUGGUCGCCUGUCAAAAAUUAAACCUUUCCAGCUGAAUAAGUGCAUCCCAGUAGCUCAUAUCUAAGACUAAACCUUUAAUCUAGUACUCCCUCCAUCCCAAAAUAAGUGUCAUGGUUUUAGUUUUAUUUAGUUCAAAUUUGAACUAAAACCACUAGAAUGAGCUACUGGUUGUGGAACGUCGGACAACACAGUCUACCGGCUAACAAACCCGGACGGUCCAGUUUAGUCGACGACAGUAUGACUUCGACGCUCGUCCAUUCCUUAUAUCCCACUGUUAAGACAUUCCCCAGUUAACCUGUGGUGGUAGAGGCCACAUAUGAAAUUAUACAAUCGAGGAAUCGGCAUGAGAGCAGCUUGCGGAUGACCAGGCUGCACAUGUAGAAUUCAAUGUAUCACUCUUGCCAUGUAGAUUUUCAGCCUUGAUUCGGGAAGAAAUAUUUAAUAUAUCGACUAACACAUGUAUACUUGCACGUUGCCUUUGAAAAAAAAUAUAAUGAGACAAAGAUGAGGGGAUAAAAUAGUAAUAAUUGAGGCUGCCACGUUGGCGCUUUCUGGUAAAUUGGACAGACAACUACCAACAUAAUGCAUUUCAGAUCAUAUUGGAUUGGAGUACCUUUUUUUUGUUACCAAAUUUAGUGUAGAUGUGUAUUUUCAUAAAUAGAUGACCAAUAUAGGUGCAUUUCGGAUGUCUACAUCAAGAAGCUAGCAGCUAACUAGUUAUGGUGUUCUUACAGUUAACUCUUUAUAUGCAAUUCUUAAAGCUAAUCAAGUAAAAUAUACUUUUAUGAAAUGUGGUGUCCCUAUGUAACUCCAAUAGGUAAGGUGUGUUUGCAUCGCUAUCAUUCCAAAAUAUUAUUUUAACUAGAGAGAGCACAAAAGGAGCUGAAUAGGGAGUGACAAAUGUCUGUUACAUGCAGAAAAACGAAUUUUUAGGUCAUCUGUUUUUGUACCGUGCGGUGGCAAAGAUUGACUGGUGUACAAUAAAAUGUGUUUCCUAAUUGAAUUUAAGGCACAAACACGGCUCAGUUAUUUAGAUGGGUGCUAAGUUCGAUGGUAGAAGUAGGAACUUUUAGCCAUCAGGUCAUUAUGGAAAACCAGAUAUAGUAUCCAUUUUCAGGAUAAAUUUUUCUAGAUUCCUCAUUGAUAACUUUCUCGGUCUGGAACUCAUAAACCAAAGUACAGAAAAAUGCAGCAUCUACCGCCAAACAAAUGUGCAGCAAGAGGUGUCUGAAUUUACCACCUGAUGGGAGACAGAAGCUGCUAGAAUGAGUAACUUAUAAGCUGUUUUUUUUUUUUGCUUUAGACUUUCUAUUUAGCUCUAUGCAAAGAGCUGUUUCCCUAGUUAGUAAGUUCAAGCUGGUCCGUAGUUUGUUUGCUAAUAGUUAAGUACGGUUGAGAUCAGUUUUCAUGCAAAUGGAAUUGGAGGUUUGCACCUAUUGCGCACAAUUUUACUUAGUUUUGUAAGACGGAUUGAAGCAAUCCUAUGCUCAUGUGUGCAAAACAAAUGAAUGUCUUGAAUUUUUCUUUAAAUAGGCGCACCUCCUUAGUUGAAUGAUCACAUUUGCUGUAAGGUAAUUUGCUUAAAUUUUGGAAGCAGAGCUGCAGUUUGAGUGGAUAAAAGCAAUCCAGAUGGCAUAAUAGUAUAGCCAGUGAAGUUCACUAGGUUUUCCACAUGGAAAGAAAGGUGACCGUUCUUAUCUUAAAUCUGCCAAAGUGACUUGUAAUUAAGUUAUAUAUCUUUCAGUUUGCAUACCUUAUCUUAGUAUUCGCUUCCACUAAGAAAACAUAAAAUCUGGAAACAAACAACAUACAGCAGUAGUACCCACAACACAUGACCAGAGCACUAAGUUUAAUUCUCCAAUCACAACAGCACUGAAGUGACAGUCAGGCAAAAAACUGUGCUGAGUGAAACGUCGUAAUACACAUAGCUAUAUGCACACAAAGAGCAGGUCCAGCUUGGAGUGAGAUCGCACACUGAAACUCAGAGAUCAAACUAACAGCCAACGAGCACAUAGCCAUGUCUAAACCAUGCCAAAACUAAGUAUAUACGGGAGGUAGGGAGGAACGGUAAUAAGGAGUUUUAAUACCAUAGAUUCAUACACCAUAGUCCAGAACAGUAUGAAAAAGUUCAAGACAUAAUAACAACCACCAAGUGAUGACAUCGCAGGUGCUACAGCAUCCAUCCAAAAUGACAUAUUCUAUUAGUAGUUAUGACAAGUGAGAAGAGCUAAGAACAAAAGACAUGCUCUAAAUAUCAGGGCAAAGCAAACCAGGAGCCUUGAACAUUCAGAUGCGCCCUGUGGAGAACGGAGCCUCCUCGUCUUAACCUUGAUGCAUCUCAUGGGACGGAAUUGGAAGAAUGCUCUCCUGGAGGCGGUAAUGAGCAAGCCGCAUACAAUGAUUCUUACCAAUUUUAACCAAACCUAAGAAUUUGCCAUCAACGUCACAGUGCAACACAUGUUUGCCAUUGAACCUGACCAGUAGCUCACGCUCAUUUAACACAGCCAUAUCAUUGAACGACUGCACCAUUGAAUCAAUUGGUGUUCUCUUUUUCUUUUUGUAAGAAGUUAAAUAAAGUUGACGUGAUGCCUCCACCGUUGACAGUUCGAUCCGAUACUUGAAAGCCCAGAUUUGGGCCUCGUAAUCUUGCAUCACCCACACAUCCAUAGUGGAGAAACUAGCAGGAGUCGAGCCGGCCCAGAAUGCAAGCGUCCCUUUUAUAUCAAACAGCAUGCUAUUAGGGCAAUGCUGGCCAGGACUGCGCAUCCACCGGAAUGACUCAGCUUCUGUGUCAAACACAAUAAUGUCUACACAUCCUCCUGUGAUGUCACUGGAACCAGAAAGCCACCAAUGCAGGCUGCCACGGUGGUGGACUGGUGGUGAAAAGCCGGAUGAAAAGUGCACCUCAUUCAUUAACUAUUUUCCACAGAAGGUGAUGAGACCGUUGGAAUUUUUACUAUGAUGCGCCUUGGCUUGUCAGAUCCCACUUUGAGGACAUAUACGCUGGAUUUAGACGAGUCAUGUGACCGAGAGAACCAGAGCACCCUAUAUUCUCCAGUUGGAUGGUGGCGGUAGAAACCAAUUACGAAGUUGAAUUGCCCUUGAGGCUGCGGUAGGAUAACAUACUUGCAGGUGACCGGGUUGCAGAUGAAGAAACUGGGUUGCGUGUGAUGGUAGAUAAUCAAGAAGCCAUCGCAGGAGCCUUUGAGAGUGAAACUGAGAUUGCCUUCCCGGACCAACGGCCAGAGCUCUUGACUGGAGGUGCCACCACCGAUGUCACCAAAGACGACAUGACUGACAGCCCGCCCAUGCGCAUCAACAAUGGGAACCAAUGGCUGUCGGCGGUGGUGUUCGAGCAUGAAUUUGGGGGUGGAUGUGGCACUGCGCCAUGACGUGUUGACAACUCGACAACAGCCGACGUCUUUGGAGGGCAAUUGGAUGAGUAUCAUGUCCAUAAUCUCCCCUGGCAGGUCCUCAAGCAUGGUUGCGCCUUUCUUGUCUGGCAUCGUCCUCCGUCGAGUCCAGUCAACUGAAAAGAGAAGCCGAGCUUUAGUGCAAGCUGAAAACCCGCCUCCACUAUUAACUCCUUCGGACCAGUUCAAAUUAAAAAGACAAGCAAGUACAUGGCAAUUUUAAUUUGUAGAACAUGGCAAUUUUAGUUUGUAGAACAUGGCAAUUUUACACUGUAGUUGCCAUAGUGCUUAAACUAAAGUUGCCAUGUGGCAAUUUUAAUUUGUAGAACAUGGCAAUUUUAGUUUUCUGAUGAUGGCAAUUCCAGUACUUUGACCAUAAAAAUAUUUUUUUGUAUAAACCAUGACAAUUUUAAGUGCAUGUAUCAUGGCAAUUUAGUUUAUGGUGCAUGGCAAGUCUAGUUUCUUAAUUCACGUUUCAUAAUAUGUCAAAAUUUACUUUAAAUGUAGAAGAAAAUAGCUUAAACAUAUCAUGGCAACUUUAGUGUAAACAUCAUGGCAGUUCAUGUGCAAUAGACAUGGCAACUUUUAACCCGAAAAAAAAUCGUCAAAAUAUAUUGACAUGGGAUCUAGUUUCGAAGAUCACGUCACGUGGGAUUUAAUGGUGAAAACAGAUCUUCAAUCGGAUUUUUCAUUUAAGAGAUAAAAUAUUUUAAAAACUGAAAAUCCAAAAAGAUUCCCACAUGCAUGCAUGCGGUGAUGUGGCGCAGUCUGUAUGUUAUAGUGCAUGUGGGCGGGUUUGGCUUCCACCACACGUGUGGACGUUAGCGUUGUCCUAAUUUUUUGGGCGUAUAAAAUCAGCCUUUUUCCUCUCCAGCAACCAACUUGAAACACCCCUCUCUCUCCCAUUCCGAGCAUGUCGUCUCCCCCACCCAUAUAUAAUUUUCUCAGACUUCAAUCACCUUCCCCAAGUGCGGCCUCCUCGAAGGUAAGAGGAAUAGUGAUGGAGUUCCGAGGCCGAACAAAGCCGGCGAUGACACGGCUUGGAGGCAAGUCCAAGUCCUGCCAAGUGCAAGAGGGGAGGAGGCUUUUCGCUCACCCCCAGUUGAUUAGACGAAGCACGAGCUCGAGACGGGGAAUGCGGGGCGAGCGGUACCAAGGCGGGUAGUUUUCAAUGAGGUUUGGAUGAACUCAUCGGAAGCGAGCAAGGGUGGUUUGUGUUGUCGCAAAUCGUCGACACAUUUAAAUUUGGGGGGCGGGGGGAAUAAAAGUCCAUGCAGAUUGAAGGUAAAAAGACGAAGUGUCAGCCCUUUAAUUUCAAUCCAAUGGUUGCGAUAGAAGUGGGGACACCAACUAACACCUAAUUUUAUUCUAGACGAUUGAUGCACAGUUGCUCCUUAUUAACGGGGCCUCCUCGCCCUAUCUUGCCCAACCAUGGUGUCGCUAGUCAUGGGGGCAUCUCUUGACCAUCGCUGACACCGUGCACAAUCUUUUACUUAUGCUUGAACGCAAACGGGGAAUUGGAUGAUUUGCCCUAGGGUUGUUUCAAUGACAGUAGCCCCCGGCCUUACCUUGUAGCCUCUCNNNNNNNNNNNNNNNNNNNNNNNNNNNNNNNNNNNNNNNNNNNNNNNNNNNNNNNNNNNNNNNNNNNNNNNNNNNNNNNNNNNNNNNNNNNNNNNNNNNNNNNNNNNNNNNNNNNNNNNNNNNNNNNNNNNNNNNNNNNNNNNNNNNNNNNNNNNNNNNNNNNNNNNNNNNNNNNNNNNNNNNNNNNNNNNNNNNNNNNNNNNNNNNNNNNNNNNNNNNNNNNNNNNNNNNNNNNNNNNNNNNNNNNNNNNNNNNNNNNNNNNNNNNNNNNNNNNNNNNNNNNNNNNNNNNNNNNNNNNNNNNNNNNNNNNNNNNNNNNNNNNNNNNNNNNNNNNNNNNNNNNNNNNNNNNNNNNNNNNNNNNNNNNNNNNNNNNNNNNNNNNNNNNNNNNNNNNNNNNNNNNNNNNNNNNNNNNNNNNNNNNNNNNNNNNNNNNNNNNNNNNNNNNNNNNNNNNNNNNNNNNNNNNNNNNNNNNNNNNNNNNNNNNNNNNNNNNNNNNNNNNNNNNNNNNNNNNNNNNNNNNNNNNNNNNNNNNNNNNNNNNNNNNNNNNNNNNNNNNNNNNNNNNNNNNNNNNNNNNNNNNNNNNNNNNNNNNNNNNNNNNNNNNNNNNNNNNNNNNNNNNNNNNNNNNNNNNNNNNNNNNNNNNNNNNNNNNNNNNNNNNNNNNNNNNNNNNNNNNNNNNNNNNNNNNNNNNNNNACCGGUGUGGUGGUGUUCGGUGGCGGCAGGAGGGCCGUGGUAGGCAUGUUCUGUUGCACAGGGUGGAUGCGUACAAGUUGGUCCACGUCUAGAUCGGCUGGAUUUGUCUUUGGUGGCCCGCUUGUGGUGUGGGGCGAGGUGCUGGUGUCCAUGAAGACGCGGGAAACUCUGGGGGAAACCUAGAUCUCUUUAGUAUCGAGCGAUGACGGUGCUUUUGUGUCGUAUUCCCUCUUGAGGGCGCGCGUCGUUUGUGGAGUUACCUCCGGCCGAAGGGACCAACAGUGAUGUCAUACAUCUUUAUGGUGAGCCUCCGCGCGGACCCAGUCAACGGCAAGAUCGGGGUCACACAACUGGCAGUAAAAAUCGUGUCGACUACGGUCGUGGCAGAUGAUGGCGGCGUCUCCGACGUUGGUUACCUGUCGAGGCAUCGUAGUUGCAGGUUGCGUCACCAUGCUCGGGUUGUCCCGGGGGAAACCCAAGAUCUGUGUCUCUUGGAUCAGACGAUGACGACACCUUUGGUGUCAUUCUCCCUCCUGGGGGCAUCAUUUUGGGGCAAGUGCUAGCUAGAGGGGGCAAGAGAUGAAGUGGUUUUGCAUCUUCAGCUUCGAGGCAACGGGUCUCGAUGGUGUGGUGCAGCAGGGGUCUCGGUGUUGGACGCAUUUGAUGGGCGUGCGCAGGAGGAUGGCGUUGUCUGGUUGGGGGAGUCAACGACACAAGGUCCUAGCAAGGUCAAUGCAUUGAUCACUCUUUGAAAUUGCACGACAGAAGAUGGCAGAUUCUAAAGUGCACGCAUGCAGUGCGUGCUGAGUUUCCGCUACACCGGUUGGUGCUCCCUGCUCGCAAGCGGGUGGCUUGGUCAAGCCAGCGGAUUACAUGGUGUGUGCUAGGUCUAUGUCAGUGCACAUCAUUAACUUUGUAGAUUUUUUUUUGUGAGAAACCAUCAACUUUCUAGGUAUGGCGGCUGUGUUUGCGAAAGGCUUUGUUGAGUAAUAUAACAAAGAUGGUUGUGUGCAUCCUUCGAUGCAGGCAGGGGUUUAUCCUCCUUUUUGAGAAAAUGUAUAUGUAUAUCACAUGAAAUUCAUCAUAGAGGCCAAGCUGAAAAACUCAAGCAGCCGACAAAUUUUGUGCUGAUCUUAGAGGCAAUCAUUGAGCCUAACAGCUUCUAAGCAUUUCGUGAAUGCAUUUGCUAAAGGCAUUUUAUUUGUGAAGCUUUCCAUUAAUUUUCAAUUGCAGACCCCAUAAACUUUGGGCUCAUCGAUUCCAAAAAAGCAUUCAACAUUUACACCUACGUACACACCUUAAUGCUCGCACAAAUAAGAUAACUUAUAUUCUGCAAGAAAAAAAAUGAAAACAAGAGGCUAAAAGAGCAAGCAAUGAAUGCUGCAUUUCAGAUCAUAUUCUGCCACUUUACCAAGUUUAGUGCUUGUGGGCAUUUUCAGAAACGGAAGACCAAAAUAGACCACGAUUGUGUUUUAUUCUUCAUUGGCAUCGGCAUGCUAGAGAUUUGCCCCUCGUUGCCUUAUAAUUGAUCGACGAAUCACUUGAAUCAAAACUGCACGAUGUGGUGAUCCGUAUGAUACUGUGAGUGGUAAGGUUAACAGCUUGUUACUGGAAACGAGAAGAAAAAAUAUAUCUAUUUGCGAAUUAGCAGUGCUAGAUGUUUAGCCCGACAUGCGUGGAGAAAACUGCAUGUGCGAUAGCUGGAAAUGUCUUGGCCUGUUGAGGCCGACGGGUUCGUGUUAAUAUAGUGGAGCGCACCACCCACAUAGCGCAUACAAUGCGGUUUAGAUUACACACGAGAGAGGGAGAUAUUCAAGGAUAAGAUAGAACUUGGAGAGAAAGAAAUAACCUAUCUCUAUCUACCCUAACUACCUCCAGGUGCGGUGCAUAAUAACACAUUUAACACACUCCCUUAAUCACAACUUCAUUAAAUUGAGAUUAUGCUUGAAGACUUCAAAACUCCGUGUGGGCAAAGGCUUUGUGAAUCCAUCUGCAAUCUGAUCCUUUGAAUGCACAAACUAAAUGUCAAGUUGCCUUUGAGCAACUCUCUCUCUGACAAAAUGAAAGUCUAUCUCUAUAUGCUUUGUCCUAGCAUGGAAUACAGGAUUAGCAGAAAGCUAAGUAGCACCAAGGUUGUCACACCACAAGCACGGAGCUUGUUUGCUCUUCACACCAAGCUCUUUCAACAUAGACUGAACCCAUAUGAUUUCAGCUGUAGCAUUUGCCAAUGCUUUGUACUCUGCCUCAGUGCUUGACCUGGAUACGGUAGCCUGUUUGCGUGCACACCAUGAUAUUAAGUUAGGUCAAAAAAAUACUGCAAAGCCAACUGUUGAGUGCCUGUCAUCCAGGCAGCCUGCCCAAUCGGAGUCAGAAAAGGCACUGACAAGAGUACAGGAUGACUUGCUGAAAUUAAGACCUAUACUAAGAGUAUGUUUAACAUAUCUGACUAUGCGCUUGGCAGCUGUCAAGUGAACAUUGGUAGGUGCAUGCAAAAACUGGCAGACUUUGUUAAUAGCAAAGGAAAGAUCAGGCCUGGUAAGAGUUAGAUACAGAAGAGCUCCUACUAGACUUCUAUAUUUUGUGCUAUUUCCUGACUCAAGGGUUUACCUUCUGCAAGAGAAAAAUUUUCUGAGAUGGAUAAUGGAGUGAGUGAGGGUUUACAACCUUGCAGUCCUUCCUUUUUAACCAGAUCAGCUGCAUACUUUGCUUGAGAGAGGUGAAGUCCAUCCUGAUGAUUCUUUACCUCAAUCCCAAGGAAAUAGUGCAAGUCUCCAAGAUCCUUUAAUGCAAAAUCUGCACUCAAGUCUUUUAAGAGUCCUCUGAUUGCCUCAUCAGAUGAGCUAGUCACAAUGAUAUCAUCAACAUGGAUGAGAACAACUAUGCAUGUAUUGGAUCUGUUAUAAAUAAAUAAUGAUGUGUCUGACUUAGAAGGAACAAAUCUAAGUGUUUGCAUCUUGUGACAGAGACGAGAGUACCACGCCCUUGGAAUGAUACACUGUAUUAUCGUUUUCAUGUGAAUGAAAUUGGAGGCAUGCACUUAAAUUAAAAAAGAAAGAAGCUACGACCUUGUCACCUUGUUAUUCAAAGUUUGAGUUAAAUAAACUCAGCCGUCAUAUAAACAGUAUUGCUCACAGUCUAUCUAUAUAUCUAUCUAUAAAUCUAUAUCUAUCCAUAUCUAUCUAUCUAUAACUCUACUAAUUGAAGUCUCCCUAGAAAUUGCCACGUGAAUUAGAAAUUAGGAGCAGUUCAUCUCGUGGGACUGAGUUAUUACAGUAGAGAUUAACCCAGAUGACUCCUUUCACCCUAAUUUACCCCUGUAUUUCAGAAUGCUAUCAAAUUACCAAUAUGUCCUUACCUCUCUUCUUUCUCUCUUCAUGUCACGUGGAUGUCGUCCUUGUUGGGGAUCGUAGCAGAAUUUUAAAAAAUUUCUACGCAUCACCAAGAUCCAUCUAUGGAGUAUACUAGCAACAAGGGAAAAGGAGUGCAUCUACAUACCCUUGUAGAUCGCGAGCGGAAGCGUUCAAGUGAACGAGGUUGAUGGAGUCGUACUCGCCGUGAUCCAAAUCAACGAUGAUCGAGUGCCGAACGGACGGCACCUCCGCGUUCAACACACGUACGGAGCAGCGACGUUUCCUCCUUCUUGAUCCAGCAAGGGGGAAGGAGAGGUUGAUGGAGAUUCAGCAGCACGACGGCGUGGUGGUGGAAGUAGCGGGUAUCUCGGCAGGGCUUCGCCAAGCUUCUGCGAGAGGGAGAGGGAGGCGCCAAGGGCUGUAGUACUGCUGCCCUCCCUUCCCCCCACUAUAUAUAGGCCCCUGGGAGGGGGGGGGGCGCCGGCCCUGGAUCCCAUCUACAAGGGGGGCGGCGGCCAGGGGGGAAACUUGCCCCCCAAGGCAAGUGGGGCGCCCCCCACCCCUAGGGUUUCCAACCCUAGGCGCAGGGGAGGCCCAUGGGGGGGGGCGCCCCAGCCCACUAAGGGCUGGUUCCCCUCCCACUUCAGCCCAUGGGGCCCUCCGGGACAGGUGGCCCCACCCGGUGGACCCCCGGGACCCUUCCGGUGGUCCCGGUACAAUACCGAUAACCCCCGAAACUUUCCCGAUGGCCGAAACUUGACUUCCUAUAUAUAAUUCUUCACCUCCGGACCAUUCUGGAACUCCUCGUGACGUCCAGGAUCUCAUUCGGGACUCCGAACAACUUUCGGGUUUCCGCAUACUAAUAUCUCUACAACCUUAGCAUCACCGAACCUUAAGUGUCUAGACCCUACGGGUUCGGGAGACAUGCAGACAUGACCGAGAUGCCUCUCCGGUCAAUAACCAACAGCGGGAUCUGGAUACCCGUGUUGGCUCCCACAUGUUCCACGAUGAUCUCAUCGGAUGAACCACGAUGUCGAGGAUUCAAUCAAUCCCGUAUACAAUUCCCUUUGUCAAUCGGUACGUUACUUGCCCGAGAUUCGAUCGUCGGUAUCCCAAUACCUUGUUCAAUCUCUUUACCGGCAAGUCACUUUACUCGUACCGUAAUGCAUGAUCCCGUGGCUAACUCCUCAAUCACAUUGAGCUCAUUAUGAUGAUGCAUUACCGAGUGGGCCCAGAUAUACCUCUCCGUCAUACGGAGUGACAAAUCCCAGUUUUGAUCCGUGCCAACCCAACAGACACUUUCGGAGAUACCCGUAGUGCACCUUUAUAGUCACCCAGUUACGUUGUGACGUUUGGUACACCCAAAGGACUCCUACGGUAUCUGGGAGUUGCACGAUCUCAUGGUCUAAGGAAAUGAUACUUGACAUUGGAAAAGCUCUAGCAAACGAACUACACGAUCUUUUGUGCUAUGCUUAGGAUUGGGUCAUGUCCAUCACAUCAUUCUCCUAAUGAUGUGAUCCCGUUAUCAAUGAUAUCCAAUGUCCAUAGUCAGGAAACCAUGACUAUCUGUUGAUCAACGAGCUAGUCAACUAGAGGCUCACUAGGGACACGUUGUGGUCUAUGUAUUCACACAUGUAUUACGAUUUCCGGAUAACACAAUUAUAGCAUGAACAAUAGACAAUUAUCAUGAACAAAGAAAUAUAAUAAUAACCAUUUAUUAUUGCCUCUAGGGCUUAUUUCCAACAGUCUCCCACUUGCACUAGAGUCAAUAAUCUAGUUACAUUGUGAUGAAUCGAACACCCAUAGCGUUCUGGGGUUGAUCAUGUUUUGCUCUAGGGAGAGGUUUAGUCAAUGGAUCUGCUACAUUCAGGUCCUUAUGUACUUUACAAAUAUCCAUGUCUCCAUUUUGAACACUUUCACGAAUGGAGUUGAAGCGACGCUUGAUAUGCCUGGUCUUCCUGUGAAAUCUGGGCUCCUUCGCAAGGGCAAUAGCUCCAGUGUUGUCACAGAAGAGAGUCAUCGGGCCCGACGCAUUGGGAAUCACCCCUAGGUCGGUAAUGAACUCCUUCAUCCAGAUUGCUUCUUGCGCUGCCUCUGAGGCUGCCAUGUACUCCGCUUCACAUGUAGAUCCCGCCACGACGCUUUGCUUGCAACUGCACCAGCUUACUGCCCCUCCAUUCAAAAUAUACACGUAUCCGGUUUGUGACUUCGAGUCAUCCAGAUCUGUGUCGAAGCUAGCGUCGACGUAACCCUUUACGACGAGCUCUUCGUCACCUCCAUAAACGAGAAACAUAUCCUUAGUCCUCUUCAGGUACUUCAGGAUAUUCUUAACCGCUGUCCAGUGUUCCAUGCCGGGAUUACUUUGGUACCUUCCUACCAAACUUACGGCAAGGUUUACAUCAGGUCUGGUACACAGCAUGGCAUACAUAAUAGACCCUAUGGCCGAGGCAUAGGGGAUGACACUCAUCUUUUCUCUAUCUUCUGCCGUGGUCGGGCAUUGAGCCGUGCUCAAUUGCACACCUUGCAAUACAGGCAAGAACCCCUUCUUGGACUGAUCCAUAUUGAACUUCUUCAAUAUCUUGUCAAGGUACGUACUCUGUGAAAGACCAAUGAGGUGUCUUGAUCUAUCUCUAUAGAUCUUGAUGCCUAAUAUAUAAGCAGCUUCUCCAAGGUCCUUCAUUGAAAAACACUUAUUCAAAUAGGCCUUUAUACUUUCCAAGAAUUCUAUAUCAUUUCCCAUCAAUAGUAUGUCAUCCACAUAUAAUAAGAGAAAUGCUACAGAGCUCCCACUCACUUUCUUGUAAACACAGGAUUCUCCAUAAGUCUGUGUAAACCCAAACGCUUUGAUCAUCUCAUCAAAACGAAUGUUCCAACUCCGAGAUGCUUGCACCAGCCCAUAGAUAGAGCGCUGGAGCUUGCAUACCUUGUUAGCAUUCUUAGGAUCGACAAAACCUUCCGGCUGCAUCAUAUACAAUUCUUCCUUAAGAAAGCCAUUAAGGAAUGCCGUUUUGACAUCCAUUUGCCAUAUCUCAUAAUCAUAGAAUGCGGCAAUUGCUAACAUGAUUCGGACGGACUUCAGCUUCGCUACGGGUGAGAAAGUCUCAUCGUAGUCAACCCCUUGAACUUGUCGAUAACCCUUAGCGACAAGUCGAGCCUUAUAGAUGGUCACAUUACCAUCCGCCUCUGUCUUCUUCUUAAAGAUCCAUUUAUUUUCUAUGGCUCGCCGAUCAUCGGGCAAGUCAGUCAAAGUCCAUACUUUGUUUUCAUACAUGGAUCCUAUCUCGGAUUUCAUGGCUUCUAGCCAUUUGUCGGAAUCCGGGCCCGCCAUCACUUCUUCAUAGUUCGAAGGUUCACCGUUGUCUAACAACAUGAUUUCCAGGACAGGGUUGCCGUACCACUCUGGUGCGGAACGUGUCCUUGUGGACCUACGAAGUUCAGCAGUAACUUGAUCCGAAGCUUCAUGAUCAUCAUCAUUAACUUCCUCCCCAGUCGGUGUAGGCACCACAGGAACAUCUUCCCGCGCUGCGCUACUUUCCGGUUCGGAAGGGGUGACUAUCACCUCAUCAAGUUCCACUUUCCUCCCACUUAAUUCUUUUGAGAGAAACUCUUUCUCCAGAAAGGACCCAUUCUUGGCAACAAAGAUCUUGCCUUCGGAUCUGAGGUAGAAGGUAUACCCAAUGGUUUCCUUAGGGUAUCCUAUGAAGACGCAUUUUUCCGACUUGGGUUCGAGCUUUUCAGGUUGAAGUUUCUUGACAUAAGCAUCGCAUCCCCAAACUUUUAGAAACGACAGCUUAGGUUUCCUCCCAAACCAUAAUUCAUACGGUGUCGUCUCAACGGAUUUCGACGGAGCCCUAUUUAAAGUGAAUGCGGCAGUCUCUAAAGCAUAGCCCCAAAAUGAGAGCGGUAGAUCGGUAAGAGACAUCAUAGAUCGCACCAUAUCCAAUAGAGUGCGAUUACGACGUUCGGACACACCGUUUCGCUGAGGUGUUCCAGGCGGCGUGAGUUGUGAAAUGAUUCCACAUUUCUUUAAGUGCGUACCAAAUUCGUGACUUAAAUAUUCUCCACCAUGAUCUGAUCGUAAGAAUUUUAUUUUUCUGUCACGUUGAUUCUCAACCUCACUCUGAAAUUCCUUGAACUUUUCAAAGGUUUCAGACUUGUGUUUCAUUAGGUAGACAUACCCAUAUCUACUUAAGUCAUCAGUGAGAGUGAGAACAUAACGAUAUCCUCCGCGAGCCUCAACACUCAUUGGACCGCACACAUCGGUAUGUAUGAUUUCCAAUAAGUUGGUUGCUCGCUCCAUUGUUCCGGAGAACGGAGUCUUGGUCAUCUUACCCAUGAGGCAUGGUUCGCACGUGUCAAAUGAUUCGUAAUCAAGAGACUCCAAAAGUCCAUCUGCAUGGAGCUUCUUCAUGCGCUUGACAUCAAUGUGACCAAGGCGGCAGUGCCACAAGUAUGUGGGACUAUCGUUAUCAACUUUACAUCUUUUGGUAUUCACACUAUGAAUAUGUGUAACAUCACGUUCGAGAUUCAUCAAGAAUAAACCAUUGACCAGCGGAGCAUGACCAUAAAACAUAUCUCUCAUAUAAAUAGAACAACCAUUAUUCUCGGAUUUAAAUGAGUAGCCAUCUCGAAUUAAACGAGAUCCUGAUACAAUGUUCAUGCUCAAAACUGGCACUAAAUAACAAUUAUUGAGGUUUAAAACUAACCCCGUAGGUAAAUGUAGAGGCAGCGUGCCGACGGCGAUCACAUCGACCUUGGAACCAUUCCCGACGCGCAUCGUCACCUCGUCCUUCGCCAUUCUCCGUUUAUUCCGCAGUUCCUGUUUUGAGUUACAAAUAUGAGAAACCGCACCAGUAUUAAAUACCCAGGAGCUACUACGAGUACUGGUAAGGUACACAUCAAUUACAUGUAUAUCAUAUAUACCUUUGGUGUUGCCGGCCUUCUUGUCCGCUAAGUAUUUGGGGCAGUUCCGCUUCCAGUGACCACUUCCCUUGCAAUAAAAGCACUCAGUCUCAGGCUUGGGUCCAUUCUUCGACUUCUUCCCGGCAACUGGCUUACCGGGCGCGGCAACUCCCUUGCCGUCCUUCUUGAAGUUCUUCUUACCCUUGCCUUUCUUGAACUUAGUGGUUUUAUUUACCAUCAACACUUGGUGUUCCUUUCUGAUCUCCACCUCCGCUGAUUUCAGCAUCGAAUAUACCUCAGGAAUGGUCUUUUCCAUCCCCUGCAUAUUGAAGUUCAUCACAAAGCUCUUGUAGCUUGGUGGAAGCGACUGAAGGAUUCUGUCAAUGACCGCCUCAUCCGGAAGAUUAACUCCCAGCUGAGACAAGCGGUUGUGUAACCCAGACAUUCUGAGUAUGUGCUCACUAACAGAACUAUUUUCCUCCAUUUUACAGCUGAAGAACUUGUCGGAGACUUCAUAUCUCUCGACCCGGGCAUGAGCUUGGAAAACCAUUUCAGCUCUUUGAACAUCUCAUAUGCUCCAUGUUUCUCAAAACGCUUUUGGAGGCCCGGUUCUAAGCUGUAAAGCAUGCCGCACUGAACGAGGGAGUAAUCAUCAGCACGUGAUUGCCAAGCGUUCAUAACAUCUUGGUUCUCUGGGAUUGGUGCAUCACCUAGCGGUGCUUCUAGGACAUAAUCUUUCUUGGCAGCUAUGAGGAUGAUCCUCAGGUUCCGGACCCAGUCCGUAUAGUUGCUGCCAUCAUCUUUCAGCUUGGUUUUCUCUAGGAACGCGUUGAAGUUGAGGACAACGUGGGCCAUUUGAUCUACAAGACAUAUUGUAAAGAUUUUAGACUAAGUUCAUGAUAAUUAAGUUCAUCUAAUCAAAUUAUUCAAUGAACUCCCACUCAGAUAGACAUCCAUCUAGUCAUCUAAGUGAAACAUGAUCCGAGUUAACUAGGCCGUGUCCGAUCAUCACGUGAGACGGACUAGUCAAGAUCGGUGAACAUCUCCAUGGUUAUCGUAUCUUCUAUACGACUCAUGCUCGACCUUUCGGUCCUCCGUAUUCCGAGGCCAUGUCUGUACAUGCUAGGCUCGUCAAGUCAACCUAAGUGUAUUGCAUGUGUUCCGAGGCCAUGUCUGUACAUGCUAGGCUCGUCAACACCCAUUGUAUGCGAACGUUAGAAUCUAUCACACCCGAUCAUCACGUGGUGCUUCGAAACAACGAACCUUCGCAACGGUGCACAGUUAGGGGAAACACUUUCUUGAAAUUAUUAUAAGGGAUCAUCUUACUUACUACCGUCGUUCUAAGCAAAUAAGAUGCAAAACAUGAUAAACAUCACAUGCAAUCAAAUAGUGACAUGAUAUGGCCAAUAUCAUUUUGCUCCUUUGAUCUCCAUCUUCGGGGCGCCAUGAUCAUCUUCGUCACCGGCAUGACACCAUGAUCUCCAUCAUUGUGUCUUCAUGAAGUUGUCACGCCAACGAUUACUUCUACUUCUAUGGCUAACGCGUUUAGCAAUAAAGUAAAGUAAUUUACAUGGCGUUAUUCAAUGACACGCAGGUCAUACAAAAAAUAAAGACAACUCCUAUGGCUCCUGCCGGUUGUCAUACUCAUCGACAUGCAAGUCGUGAUUCCUAUUACAAGAAUAUGAUCAAUCUCAUACAUCACAUAUAUCAUUCAUCACAUCUUCUGGCCAUAUCACAUCACAAGGCACAUGCUGCAAAAACAAGUUAGACGUCCUCUAAUUGUUGUUGCAAGUUUUUACGUGGCUUCUAUAGGUUUCUAGCAAGAACGUUUCUUACCUACGUAAAACCACAACGUGAUAUGCCAAUUUCUAUUUACCCUUCAUAAGGACCCUUUUCAUCGAAUCCGUUCCGACUAAAGUGGGAGAGACAGAUACCCGCUAGCCAUCUUAUGCAACUAGUGCAUGUCAGUCGGUGGAACCUGUCUCACGUAAGCGUACGUGUAAGGUCGGUCCGGGCCGCUUCAUCCCACAAUACCGCCGAAACAAGAUAAGACUAGUAGCGGCAAGAAGAAUUGGUAACAUCUACGCCCACAACUGCUUUGUGUUCUACUCGUGCAUAGUAACUACGCAUAAACCUGGUUCUGAUACCACUGUUGGGGAUCGUAGCAGAAUUUUAAAAAAAUUCUACGCAUCACCAAGAUCCAUCUAUGGAGUAUACUAGCAACGAGGGAAAAGGAGUGCAUCUACAUACCCUUGUAGAUCGCGAGCGGAAGCGUUCAAGUGAACGAGGUUGAUGGAGUCGUACUCGUCGUGAUCCAAAUCACCGAUGACCGAGUGCCGAACGGACGGCACCUCCGCGUUCAACACACGUACGGAGCAGCGACGUCUCCUCCUUCUUGAUCCAGCAAGGGGGAAGGAGAGGUUGAUGGAGAUCCAGCAGCACGACGGCGUGGUGGUGGAAGUAGCGGGUAUCUCGGCAGGGCUUCGCCAAGCUUCUGCGAGAGGGAGAGGUGUUGCAGGGGGAGAGGGAGGCGCCAGGGGCUGUAGUACUGCUGCCCUCCCUUCCCCCACUAUAUAUAGGCCCCUGGGAGGGGGGGCGCCGGCCCUGGAUCCCAUCUACAAGGGGGGGCGGCCUGGGGGGAAACUUGCCCCCCAAGGCAAGUGGGGCGCCCCCCACCCCUAGGGUUUCCAACCCUAGCCGCAGGGGGAGGCCCAUGGGGGCGCCCCAGCCCACUAAGGGCUGGUUCCCCUCCCACUUCAGCCCAUGGGGCCCUCCGGGAUAGGUGGCCCCACCCAGUGGACCCCCGGGACCCUUCCGGUGGUCCCGGUACAAUACCGAUAACCCCCGAAACUUUUCCGGUGGCCGAAACUUGACUUCCUAUAUAUAAUUCUUCACCUCCGGACCAUUCCGGAACUCCUCGUGACGUCCGGGAUCUCAUCCGGGACUCCGAACAACUUUCGGGUUUCCGCAUACUAAUAUCUCUACAACCCUAGCGUCACCGAACCUCAAGUGUGUAGACCCUACGGGUUCGGGAGACAUGCAGACAUGACCGAGACGCCUCUCCGGUCAAUAACCAACAGCGGGAUCUGGAUACCCAUGUUGGCUCCCACAUGUUCCACGAUGAUCUCAUCGGAUGAACCACGAUGUCGAGGAUUCAAUCAAUCCCGUAUACAAUUCCCUUUGUCAAUCGGUACGUUACUUGCCCGAGAUUCGAUCGUCGGUAUCCCAAUACCUUGUUCAAUCUCGUUACCAGCAAGUCACUUUACUCGCACCGUAAUGCAUGAUCCCGUGGCUAACUCCUUAGUCACAUUGAGCUCAUUAUGAUGAUGCAUUACCGAGUGGGCCCAGAGAUACCUCUCCGUCAUACGGAGUGACAAAUCCCAGUCUUGAUCCGUGCCAACCCAACAGACACUUUUGGAGAUACCCGUAGUGCACCUUUAUAGUCACCCAGUUACGUUGUGACGUUUGGUACAUCCAAAGCACUCCUACGGUAUCCGGGAGUUGCACGAUCUCAUGGUCUAAGGAAAUGAUACUUGACAUUGGAAAAGCUCUAGCAAACGAACUACACGAUCUUUUGUGCUAUGCUUAGGAUUGGGUCUUGUCCAUCACAUCAUUCUCCUAAUGAUGUGACCCCGUUAUCAAUGACAUCCAAUGUCCAUAGUCAGGAAACCAUGACUAUCUGUUGAUCAACGAGCUAGUCAACUCGAGGCUUACUAGGGACACGUUGUGGUCUAUGUAUUCACACAUGUAUUACGAUUUCCGGAUAACACAAUUAUAGCAUGAACAAUAGACAAUUAUCAUGAACAAAGAAAUAUAAUAAUAACCAUUUAUUAUUGCCUCUAGGGCACAUUUCCAACAGUCCUCUCAAUUUCUAUCAAAUUUUCUCUAGGCUUAUGUUGCUGUCUUCAUGGGAAUCCCAACCUCCUCUUCCUGUUUUAUCUCCCACGAUGUAGCAGGAUUGUUGGGUUAGCGAUAAUGACAUCAUAUUCACGUGUGUUGAGCGGCAAAGAUCUAGUGGACCUUUGAUUAGGGAAGCUGCACGUGCAUGUUCAGGUCAAUUAGACCUUCGAUUAGAGAAGCUGCACGUGCAUAUUCAGGUCAACACACUGAGAGGAUGCCAACUCGUGGAUGCACUCCUUCAUCCUUUCGGGGGCCAACUGGUAAUUGUAAUUGCCGAUUCGCUAGCGCGCCGCUCCGCCACAUUGCAUUGUCUUGCACCAACAUACACCGCUCUGUACUUGUAGGGGUGCAUGGCUUUGUUAUGAUAUAUUAGAGCACUCACCCUGGUCUAGUCUCGCCACCUUGAAAACAAAACCUAACAUUACAAUACCGUCUCCUCGGGCAGCCGUUCCACAUCAUCACUGCCUCAUCUCUUCAACAACUACCGCAAGAACCAUGUAUAGAACCGCACCAUCAGGAAGGCAACUAAUAUUUGGGAAAUUCUUGGUUUCUUUAAAAGUAUCUGGUCUGGAGUUGCUUUGCUAAUAAUUAAGUAGGAUGCAUUGUAGUAUUGUUUUCAUGUGAAUGGAAAUUGGGAGGCAUGCACCAAAUUAAAAAAGAAAGAAGUUGCGACCUUGUUGUCUUAACUUUCAAAAUUGAGGUAAAUAAAUUCAGCGGUCACAUAAACGUAUUGAUCACAAUAUUAACCAGUUUUGCAAGACAGGUUGAAGUAAUCCUAUGUUCAGCCAGCUCUAUCAUGUGUGUUGGCGUUUAUGAACCUUAUUGGAAAAUGUAAAUUUGUACCGACUUACAUUACUGUUUAACAGAGAAUGGGCUUCCAAAGAAAUAAUUGGUGAGCUGUUUUAAGAUGUUCCAUCUUACCUCUAAUGGUAAGAUUCAUUUUAAAUCUAGAUUGUUGAUUCAUGACAUUUAGUAAUGUCCAUAAACCAAAGAAUGCUAACAAGGUCAUCUAUUUGGAACGGAGGGAGUAAAUGGUAACACGCUAGCUAGUAGCUAAUGUAUAAAGUUGAGUCAUCUAUUUUGGAACCGAGGGAGUAAAUGAUAACACGCUAGUAGCUAAUGUAUUAAUUAGGCACAACUCUUUCUAUCAGAAAUGAUAAAUAUCACGCAAUAUGCUACAGUAAUCACACAUCCAUGUACUUUAGGAUUUAUUAGUAUGUUGGAUUUUUAGAUAUACACCAUAAGUCAAGAUACGCUUAAUUGCACAUCCAUGAAUGACUGGUAGGCCUCAAUCAUUGUCCGCAUUCUUGAUUAGAUGGUGUCUUUGUAUGCAAGCCAUAGACUUUACGUUGAGUAUGUAUUGCAUGUCAGUUUGACAAGAAACUUCGUAAUAGUUUGACGCAAGAUGUUGGAGCAGACUACAAAACCGACUUCCCAAUAGAAAUGUGAGAGUUAGUUUUUCAAAAGUAUGAAACCAUUCCAUAAAGUAUUAUUUUCAUUUCAAUAAGAAUAGUUCGAGAUAUUUUUAGAUCUUAAUUCAUGAUGUUCUCUCAAAAGGUUAGUUUUGAGUGAACCCAAAGUAAAUUACUGCUUGAUACAUACAUUCUUUUUGCAUGGUCUUCAUAUGAUAUAAGUACCAGAAGAAUUUUAUUUUUCAAUGGUCAAUAAUGUGUGCUAAUAGAUUUAUUUCUUUACAUAGAUUGGUUCUUGCAAUUCAAGUUUAAUACUAGUUCAUAUUGGAAAGUAAUGAUCUGUAGAGAACCAAAAAGCUCAAUGUGCCCCCUUUUAUCAUCCACGAGGUAAUAUAUAGCCGACCCAUUGGAUCAACAUAAACGGUCGAUCCAAAACAAUUCGAGAGAAUUUUCAAUUUUAUAAAUAAGCACAUUUUCCAAGUCAAAUGACCACUUACAUGUUUUACUGUUGUAAUAUGAUAGUGACACGUCAGGCCACAACAGUUUGCAGUCAAAAAGAGCAUAACUAUUUAGCAAUGGACCCCUUUUACUAUAGCUGAUCAAUGGGCGGAUAGCUUCUGCAUUACAUUAAUAAGUAGAAGAUAUUUCUAAAUGAUCAAAAUCGUUUCCCCCUAGUUUCCAGGGUUGCCGGAUUCCUCUAGCUGCUCAGGAAGGUUGUCGCACCGACACGGCAAGGCGGGUCCUUGGUCUGACAAUCUCGUGCAGCUCGGGAGGGUUUUACAUGGCGGAAGGGAUGUCCUGCAAGAUGCAUCUGGCAGAUCAAAAACUACUUGUAUCCUUGUUCGAGCAGGAAGAUAAAGCGUGACGGUAGCGGGGGCGUACCAACUAGCUUAGGCACAAUGACUGAAAUACAAGUUUUUCUAGCAUCAUGCAUGCGAGCGACAGAGAAGGAACACCAUCUUAGCUUUUAGGAUGCAAAUGGGAAUGUUGUUGAACCUAUGAUGAAUUGCCAAACAUGAUUUUGAAUUUUAACAAAUUGUGUACUUCCAAAUUAAAUGAACCUAAUAAUGAUGUGCUAGACAAAGUACAUGUCAGUGUAACUAUGGGUAUGAAGGAAAUACUCUUAGCGCCAUAUACAGUUGAAGAAGUAAAAAAAACACUUGGUUUAGCAUCAGAGCCAUGAAACUGUCAGGAUCCGAUGGGUUGCACAAAAUAUUUUAUAAAAGAAUCUCUUCAAUGUUUGGAAACAUAAUUAUCAAUGAAGAUUUCUUAGCUUUGAACAGAAUGAUACCAUAAUUUUUAUGAUUCCAAAGGAUGAAAAUAUACGUAAUGUACAGAGUACUGCCCAAUUUGUCUCUGUAACGUAAUCUAUAUAGUUAUAAACUAACAUUGGGCAAACAGACUCAAAACUAUUUUGUGAGAGAUCAUUGUAGAAUGCCAAAGUGCUUUUUUCCUGUGGCAAAUUAUAGCAGAUGAUAUUCCUGUUGCUUAUGAUUCCUUGGACUGAAUAAAGAAGAAGAAUGGCAAGAAGGGUUGAUGUCGGGUAAAAUUUGAUAUGCACAACACAUAUGAUAGAGCUGAGUUGUGCUUUUAUGACCAAUGAUGAAGAUAAUAGGCUUUGAUGAUGGAUGAAUUAAUAUGAUAAUUGGAUGUGUCUCGUCGCUAAGCUAUUUGGUUCAUUUUAAUUCCAUUGAAAUUGAACGUUUUUUUGCCAACUACGGAUUGCAGUGGGGGUGGGGGUGGGGGUCUCAACCCUACCUCUUUCUCAUUUGCACAGAAGAACUUUCCAGCCUAUUAUCACAUGGGGAAGCGGAGGGUUCCUUGCAUAGCCAUGAAAGCAUAUCGCGAUGUCCCGUAGAACUCACAAACGCUCUUCGAUGACUACUCAUUAUUUCUUAUGAAUGCUCACACGGAAAAUGCAGCUAGCUUUAAAGGGGCGUUGGACCGCUAUUCUAAGUCUUAUGAUAGCUUAUUAGUGUGGAAAAAUCACAGUGUUUGCAACCCUAAAAAAGUGUUGGAAAGAAGGAAGAAGUCUGCACUAUUUUGGAGAAUAUGACCGAAGAAAUUUUAGAUAAAUAUUUGGGACUUCCCACGAUGGUGGGGGACAUAGGGAAGUGACUGUUUUAUUCAUCAAGUAAAGACAGUGUUGAGAAUUAGUGGAUGGAAGGGAAAAAAUAAUAUCGAUGGUAGGUAAAGAAGUGCAAAUGAAAUAUGUAGAUGUCUUUAUUCAACCUUCCGAAGAAAUUUUGUAAAGGAAUCAUGAGAGUCAGUUUUGAGUGAACAUAAUGUAAAUUAAUGCUCAAGAGAAAUGCAUUUAUUUUUGCAUGGUCUCAUCUGAUAUAAGUAGCAAAAUAAUUUUAUUUUGCAAUGUCCAAUAAUGUGUACUAAUGGGCUUAUUUCUUUAUGUAGAUUGAUUCUUAAGUUUAAAACUAGUUCAUCAGUGGAAAGUAAUGAUGUAAAGACACAAAAAAAGCCAUUGUGGACUCUUUCAUCAAUGUCACAGCGCAAUGCAUGUCUCUCAUUAAAAUCCACCAGCAGCUCACGGUCAUUGAGAACAACCAUAUUAUUGACCCAAUUCAACAUUGAACCUGGUAGUGCUUUCUUCUUUUUCUGUUUGCAGGAAGCUAAAUAAAGUUCUUCUGAUGCCUCCAGCACUCGCAAGUCAAUCUGGUACUUGAAGGCCCAGAUUCCGGCCUCGUAAUCCUGCAUCACCCAGACAUCCACAGUGGUCAAAGGAGGCGGGCUAAUCCCAAAAGCAAGUGUCCCGUUCAUGUCAAACAACUUCAUGGUACUGUUAUGAGAACCCAGCUGGGUGGGUGUCAGACUACGCAUCCACCAGAAAUAUUCGGCUUCUGUGUCGAACAUAAUAAUGUCUCUGCCACCGCCCGUCAUGUCUUCGGCACCGUAACGAGGAUUCCAGUGCAGAUUAUUGUGGUGGUAGACAGAAGGACACUCAUAGGAGAACCUAAACAGCUCAUGGAGUAACGUCUGUUCCACUGAAGGCAAUGACUUUGUUGGGAGUUUGACUUUCACAUGACUCGGUUCGUCGGAUCCCACAGUGAGAACAUAUAAACUGUAAUUCAUGGGUGCUGCGACCCUGAGACCCAGAGCACCCUGUAUUCUCCAGUUGGAUGGUGCCGGAAGAAACCGAUUAUGGUGUUGUACAAGCCUCGCUCGAUCUUAGGCUGCGGCAGGAGAGCCUGCUUGCGGGUGGUCGGGUUGCACAUGUAAAACUGGGAUUCCCCGGAGAAGACAACAAAGCCAUCGCAGGCGCCAAGCAGGUGCAUCUUGAAACGGACGCCCGGGACGAAUGACCAGAGCUGUUGAUUGGCGGCGCCGGCGAGCGAGGCGGCAUCGCGGAAGACGAUGAUACCAGCAGGCCGUCCACGGUCGUCAACUAUGGGGAACGACGGUUGGCGGCGGCGGUGUUCGAGGGUGAACUCGGCGUUGAGGUUGCAGCACGCCACGAUGCGCGGACGGCGCGGCAGCGGCCGAUGUCUUUGGGUGGCAGCAGGAUGAGGAUCUGGUCGAUGACGAUCUCCUCGGGCAGGUCGUCGAGCACGGUCGCACCUCUCCUGUUCGUCAUUGCAGGCGCUCCGUCGGUUCCCGUGAUCAGCUAAAAUAAAGGGAGCGGCUAGUGGUCAGGUGACUGAUUUUAAAACUUGGGUCAGUCAUUUUUCUUUUUCUUUUUGCAACGCAGGCCGCGCAGCUCACGGAGCUGGACGUGCGUGCUGUGUCGUUCCUCCAACUAGGCUAGUUCAUAGGUGGGGCAGGGCUUUUGCACUACAUGGGCAUGGUGAAAGCUCUGUACUUAAUGCUCCCACACAACGACAACAAUACUUAUAUCUUAGUGCUAAUGAUCAAUCACGUGGUUGUACGUAAUCACAUUCUUAAUUCUAAAUUAGAAAAACACAAAUUUAAAGGACGAAUAAUAUUAUGCACCUAUGUAUAGCAUAAUACAACAUAAAAACUUCUACUUUCUCUAGUGUUCUCAUCCUCUAUACUAAUAUAGUAACGUAAAAAUUAAAAACAAAAAAACAAAAUAAUAAAGUUUCCUAAGAAAAAAAUUAGUGGCAUUGGUAUUAGCCUUUAAACAAAAUUAAACUAAUAAGGACAACACAUAAUUUAAACAGAAAUUACGCUUUUCCACAAUAUGAAAGAUAAGCAUAUAAUGGUGGGAUUCUCACAAGAUGGAAGUUAUCUAAAAACGAAUGAAUCAACGACAUUGCUAUUACCCUUAAAGGAGAAAGCAAUAAAAUAAAAAAUAAAAAAGUCAAAAUAAGGAAGUUUUCUAAAGAAUGAAUUAGUGGCAUUCGUAUAAACCUUUAAGAAAAAGAAAAUGAAAAAAAAAUAGAAAUUUUUCACACAAUUUACACAGAAAUUGCACUUUUCUAUAGUAUGCAAAAACAAGCAUAUAAUAGUGGAGUUUUCAUAAAAUAAAAGUUUCCUCAAAACGAAUGAAUUAAUGGCAUUCGUAUUACCAUUAGAGCAGACAAAAAUUGAAACACAAACUAAAACUAAAUCAAAAUAAUGAAGUUUUCUAAGGAAGAAUGAAUUAGUGGCAUGGUAUUACACUUUAAGAAAAACAAAAAAGAAAUAAAUACUAAAACAAAAUCAAAAUAAUUAGUGGCUUUUGUAUUACCCUUCAAGAAGAAAGAAAAUGAAAUCAAACUAAAACAAAAUCAAACAAUAAGGUUUCCUAAGAAAGAAUGAAUUUGUUGCAUUGGUAUUACCCUUUAGCAAAAAGAAAAUGGAAAAAAUAUGUAAAGCAAAUAAUGACAAAUUUUGCACACAAUUGACACAUAAAUUGCAAUUUUCUAUAGUAUGCAAAAAUAAGCAUAUAAUAGUGGAAUUUUCGCAAAAAGAAGUUUCCUAAGUACGAAUGAAUUAGAUUAGACAGAAACUGAAACAAAAACUGAAAUAAAAUCAAAAUAAUGAAGGUUUUUAAGGAAGAAUGAAUUAGUGGCAUGGUAUUACUCUUUAAGAAAUAUGAAAAGAAAUAAAUACUAAAACAAAAUCAAAAUAAUGAGGUUUUCUAGGAAAGAAUGAAUUACUGGCUUUGGUAUUGCCCUUCAAGAAGAAAGAAAAUGAAUUCAAACUAUUACAAAAUCAGACGAUGUGGUUUUUUAAGAAUGAAUGAAUUGGUGGGUUAGUUUUACCCUUUAGUAAAAAGAAAAUGAAAAAUUAUCUGAAAUAAACAAUGACAAAAUUUGCACACAAUAUACCCAAAAUUGCGCUUGUUUAAAAUAUGCAAGAAUAAGCAUGUACUGCGGAAAUUUUCGCCAGAAAAUCCUACGCAAGAAUGAUCAAUGGCAUUGAUAUUACCCUUAAUGAAGAAACAAAAUAAAAUUAUAACUAUAUCAAAAUCAAAAUAAUAAACUUUUAUAAGAAAAAUGAAAUAGUGGCAUUGGUAUUCCUUUUUAAGAAGAAAAAUAAUGAAUUUAAAAAAAACUUGCACACAACUUCACACUAAAAUUGCAUUUUUUUUUUGUAGUAUACCAACAAUAAUCAUAUGACAGUGUAAUUUUCGCGCAUAUUGUAUUGUAUAGCAUUUGAAUAUAUAUAUUUAGACUCGCCCAACACCCAAAAAUACCUACAAAAGAAAAUAAUAUAAUCUAACUAAUAAAGAAUAACAAAAAACAAAAGAAGAAACACAUAAAACAUAUUUCUUUUAAAGAAAAACAAUGUGGCAAAGGGGAGGGCUGGGUGGAAUACGUGGGCUUCAGCCCAGUAGGAAGUUGACUGACCCAAAUAUGUGGUCAGUCAAAAAACAAAAUCUAAGCCAGCUCAUAGUACUCAAUGGCCAGAAAAAUCUAUAGGGAAGUGACUGAAAGCAAAAAAUCAAUGGCCAGAAAAAUCUACUGACGAAAAGUGGUUUUUCAGGCAACUUACGUGUAGCUAAUGUGUAAAAUAAAAGAGCAGCAAAUCAACUUUUGUCCACAAUAAAGCAGAAGCGAGAGAUCCGCCUAUCGAAACAUGUGAUGUACGUCGGUUGACGGGGCAACAUACGGCUCCUAGCCUUUUUUUCCCAAACAUUGGCCGUACAACAGGAGGAUUUUGUGAACACGCUCAGGAAGGAAAAAAAAGUUAUAUUAUGGAGCUCCCAAACUUGAAACGCAUGCUGCGAUUUGAUACGAGAGCUUUCAAAGUGUGCGUUGCAGUCCCAAACUUGGC
This 31297-nucleotide long non-coding RNA is filed under the name Triticum aestivum (bread wheat). RNAcentral's name for it is "long non-coding RNA (TAES_LNC018511)". Lineage: Eukaryota; Viridiplantae; Streptophyta; Magnoliopsida; Poales; Poaceae. The record is from RNAcentral.